AUGUCGACGUCCUUAGGUGUCUUGGUGUGGAAUGUAAGGGGAUUAAAUAACCCGGCUAGGAGGAGUUCGAUCAGACCGUUUAUGCAUUCUCUUAAUGUAUCGCUAGUUUGUUUCCAAGAAUCCAAGUUGGCUGAGGUGAAUGUGAUGCUGGUUCGCGAGACACUGGGUCCGAACUUCGAUGGAUUUGAUUUCCUGCCAGCUGAAGGCACGCGAGGGGGAGUUAUAUUGGCAUGGCAGUCAGAUAGGCUCAUGGUGUAA
This 258-nucleotide ribosomal RNA is filed under the name Triticum aestivum (bread wheat). Its description in RNAcentral is "partial small subunit ribosomal RNA". Lineage: Eukaryota; Viridiplantae; Streptophyta; Magnoliopsida; Poales; Poaceae. The record is from RNAcentral.